Molecule: ribosomal RNA, 383 nt
Filed under: uncultured eukaryote
Lineage: Eukaryota
Description: partial 18S ribosomal RNA
Rfam family: Eukaryotic small subunit ribosomal RNA
Source: RNAcentral
CAAUAGCGUAUAUUAAAGUUGUUGCAGUUAAAAAGCUCGUAGUUGGAUUUCUGGUGGGAGCGAUCGGUCUGGCGCUUAGCGCGAGUACUUGCAUCGUCUCCGGCCAUCCUUGGGGAGAGUCUGUCUGGCAUUAAGUUGUCGGGCAGAGGAUCCUCAUCGUUUACUGUGAAAAAAUUAGAGUGUUCAAAGCAGGCUUAUGCCGUUGAAUAUAUUAGCAUGGAAUAAUAAGAUAGGACUUUUGUACUAUUUUGUUGGUUUGCGCACCAAAGUAAUGAUUAAUAGGGACAGUUGGGGGUAUUCGUAUUCCGUUGUCAGAGGUGAAAUUCUUGGAUUUACGGAAGACGAACUACUGCGAAAGCAUUUACCAAGGAUGUUUUCAUUAA